CCUACGGGAGGCAGCAGUAGGGAAUAUUGCUCAAUGGGGGAAACCCUGAAGCAGCAACGCCGCGUGGAGGAUGAAGGUUUUAGGAUUGUAAACUCCUUUUGUCAGAGAAGAUUAUGACGGUAUCUAACGAAUAAGCACCGGCUAACUCCGUGACAGCAGCCGCGGUAAUAUGGAGGGUGCAAGCGUUAUUCGGAAUAACGGGGCGUAAAGGGUGCGUAGGCGGGGUAAUAAGUCAGAUGUGAAAUCCUGUAGCUUAACUACAGAACUGCAUUUGAAACUGUUACUCUGGAGUGUGGGAGAGGUAGGUGGAAUUCUUGGUGUAGGGGUAAAAUCCGUAGAGAUCAAGAGGAAUACUCAUGGCGAAGGCGACCUGCUGGAACAUUACUGACGCUGAUGCACGAAAGCGUGGGGAGCAAACAGGAUUAGAUACCCGAGUAGUC
This 440-nucleotide ribosomal RNA is filed under the name uncultured bacterium. RNAcentral's name for it is "partial 16S ribosomal RNA". It matches the Rfam family "Bacterial small subunit ribosomal RNA", at positions 338 to 795 of the family's 1533-position model. The record is from RNAcentral.